Molecule: ribosomal RNA, 253 nt
Filed under: uncultured bacterium
Lineage: Bacteria
Description: partial 16S ribosomal RNA
Rfam family: Bacterial small subunit ribosomal RNA
Source: RNAcentral
UACGGAGGGUGCAAGCGUUAUCCGGAUUCACUGGGUUUAAAGGGUGCGUAGGUGGGUCUGUAAGUCCGUGGUGAAAUCUCCGAGCUUAACUUGGAAACUGCCAUGGAUACUAUAGGUCUUGAAUACUGUGGAGGUCAGCGGAAUAUGUCAUGUAGCGGUGAAAUGCUUAGAUAUGACAUAGAACACCAAUUGCGAAGGCAGCUGGCUACACAAAUAUUGACACUGAUGCACGAAAGCGUAGGGAUCAAACAGG